UACAAUUACAGGUAUAUGUACACUGUUCAAACAUCUGAACUGUGAUUAAAGCAAUUAAGCGUAUGUUAAGUACGUCGCACUCAGAUGGGAAAGCACCGUGAGGUGCUUUUUUUGUUAAUGA
Non-coding RNA from Streptococcus vestibularis F0396, 121 nucleotides. Lineage: Bacteria; Bacillati; Bacillota; Bacilli; Lactobacillales; Streptococcaceae. The record is from Rfam.